GGUAAGGUAUGUUAAAAAAACAUUUACCGUUCAAAGGUAACAAUGACGAAAGCUUGUCUCUUAUCA
This 66-nucleotide transfer RNA is filed under the name Haematopinus suis. RNAcentral describes it as "tRNA-Trp". The record is from RNAcentral. Lineage: Eukaryota; Metazoa; Arthropoda; Insecta; Psocodea; Haematopinidae.